Molecule: long non-coding RNA, 2188 nt
Organism: Lagenorhynchus albirostris (white-beaked dolphin)
Lineage: Eukaryota; Metazoa; Chordata; Mammalia; Artiodactyla; Delphinidae
Exons: 4
Source: RefSeq, a predicted model, not a curated record
GGCGGCAAAGGGGUGAAGGCGGAGGAGGUAGUGCCUGGGAACAGGCAACCUGUGUCUGGCGCGGUGCCCUGCAGCUGGUGGCGGGUGGGGCCGGCGGGCGGGCUACCGCUUUCCCGUGUCGACGGAGGCUGCUGACGGGAAAGCGAUCCGGGAGGGAGCGACUCGGCCCAGGUCCCGUCCCCUGAAAACCUGCGAGAUUUCAGGGCCGAGUAAGCCAAGCAGAAGAUCUGGGCAGUGUUAACAAACGGACGUUGAGAUUCGCAGAGGUCAGCCUUCGAGGCCUCUGUCUGCCCGCCACCGGCUCUGUGACGUCUGGCGUGUCACAGCCUGGCCUCAGUUUCCCCACCCUUCUAGAGGGCUUGCAGCUUGCGAGUGGCCCCGAAGAAAAGAGUUAACGUCACAAAUACUACCGGCCUAGUAGCAAGAUGCAGGUCCCCCAGGGAAUGUGCAGGAGUGGGAGCCUUACCAUGUGCUACAGUGCUCGUGACAGUCUGCUUGGCAGUCACUUACAGAGAAGAAUGAGCGGCUGGCUACUGUAUGAACCCUCCCCCACAUCUGUUCAGGUAGUUCUCCGUUAUCAUUAAUCAGGCCACUCUGUACCACGUGCCCCAAUCCUGGCGAUACACCUUCGUUCUCCAUUUCAUGAGAGUCCUUCAGUACAAAGGGAGGAACAGGAUUUCCUGGUCAAGAUGUUUACCAAUUACCACCUUAAAGGUUCUCCCUCACUGCCCUCCUCCAAUAACAAUGCAAAGCAGAGCUGGGGCCCCGUCCAAGCCUUAAACCACAGGAAACAAGGUAUCCAAGUGCUCUCGAUGGUGUGUACCGGUAGCUCUUCUGCCCCGACAUAGGUUCAACUGAAGAGGCUGUUCUAAGAAAGACAACUGAGAUCAUCAGUCACCUCCUCAGAGAAAGUCCACUGAGGUAGAGUUUUGUUUACCCUGUAAACAACACAACAUUUAUUGUUGAAUCCCUUAUUCUUUUACAGUCAGACUAGAGAAAUGCAAUUUUUUUUUUUUUUUUUUGGUGGGGGCAUGAGGGUCAAAGAAGGGGUCAUGGUCGAGAAGAUGGGUCCUGGGAAGAUGGACCUGUAAGCCAUAGAAUCCCCUUGGGGAAGACUCAGGAAGGCAAAGACUGUCCUUUCAACUCAAGUGUCAAAUGCGUUUCCACUUAUCUUACCAAGCAAGACGACAAACAGGAUUUUCCCAGAGUGCCUGGCGAUGCUUAGGUGACAGGAGUGACUGAGGGGCAGGCCUGGAGACAGAUCCUUGGCUGCCCCAUGUAUCCAAACCUCCCCAUGUAUCCAAACCCCCAGAAAAUGCCUGGAAGAGAGUGGAAGGGGAGGAUUGAAGAUAAUCCUUAACUUUUCUAAAGCAGGAAUAUAUUACACUCAAUAAACUUUAAAUAUUUGCCCCUCUUGUGAGUUAGGGUGACUAUUUGCAUUGAAGAGGAAGAAAAUAAUGUUUAGAGCUCAUUUUUCUAAGAUCAUGGAAAACAAACAAACAAAACCCAGAAUCCAUUGCUUUGGGUGAAAAAACAGUGAUAGUAACUCUAAGUACGCUCACUGACUCCAAAAUUGUCAUUAUAGUAUCUAUUAUAUAUUUUAAAAAAACUAAAUUGAAAAAAUAGAUUCCAAAGGUAAGAAGAUUGAGGGUUGGGGGCUAGAGGGAUGGACAGGUAGAGCACAGAGGACUUGGAGGACAGCGAACCUAUUCUGUUUGCUGCUGUAAUAGUGGAUCCACGUCACUAGACAUUUGUCAAAAGCUACAGAACGUACAGCGCCAAGAGUGAAUCCUAACGUAAACUACUGUCUUUGGUUAAUAAUGACGUAUCUAGAUUAGUUUAUCAAUUGUAGUAGCUACACCACAGUAAUACAGAAGUUAAUAACGGGAACUGGCGGGUGAGGUGGGGAGCAGGGGGCAUACGGAACUCAGUCCUUUCUGCUCAGUGUUUCCUGUACAAAAUAAAACCUACUUAAAAAAAUGGAUCCCACACCUGGAAUUUGUUGGCCAGCCUGAAAUGAAAUUCAAGGGUCCAGGUCCCUGUCUCUCACAGGUUUGUUUCCGUAGCAAGCCCACGUCGUCAGUGUGUCAUUGGGAAGAGCUGCGUCCUAGGAUCCGGAGCUGAAGCCCUGACAGUCCAGAAUGUUCACAGGACAUGAGCUGGGGUGAGUCAGCCAACCAGCCUGGGU